RNAcentral lists this ribosomal RNA (720 nucleotides) under Ammonia sp. genotype T6. RNAcentral describes it as "SSU rRNA". It matches the Rfam family "Eukaryotic small subunit ribosomal RNA", at positions 1305 to 1759 of the family's 1831-position model. The record is from RNAcentral. Lineage: Eukaryota; Foraminifera; Rotaliida; Rotaliidae.
GUAGACUCAUGCGGUAGUGACCCCCCCUUCACAGGGCGCGUGUCGCACGUAUGUUAUACGCACAGGUCUCCGAUAGCAACGAACGUGACCGUACUCUAUUGUUGCAGCGACAAUACCUUUCAACGGGUAUUACCGCUGCUUAGCAAGAUUCGUCUUGCAUUAAACUAUAGAGACCGCUGUUUCUUCUUUAAACCAGAGGAAGGAUACGGCAAUAACAGGUCUGUGAUGCCCUCAGAUGUUCCGGGCUGCACACGUGCUACAAUGAUCAUUGCACUGUGCAUCUAACCCAAUGUGCGCGGACGCCGCCGUGCGUAUAUACUUUAUUGUGUAUGCGUAUCGUGCGUGCGACCGCGCCGAACCUGCUUCGAAAGUAAACAUUUCCAGCGGGUAAUCCAUUAGAAGUAAUGACUCGCAUAGACCAUGGCACACUAUAUGUACCCGCGGGUUCUACCCGGCUCGCCUUUGUGUGAGUGCAGUGCGUAGCUCGUUGUUUGGUACGUGCCACUCCGUAUUAAUUCAUACGUGGGGAUAGAUCAUUGUUUAAUUGUUGGUCUCGGUCUUAACUAGGAAUGCCUUGUACGGGUCUUUGGUUCAACAUACCACCCGGAAUACGUCCCUGCCCUUUGUACACACCGCCCGUCGCUCUUACCGAUGGAUUAUACUAUGAAUCUAUAGGACUGCCAAAGUUGCUCUUCGCGGCGCGCUUAGUGGAAAUAUAUA